This is a long non-coding RNA of Hibiscus syriacus, 113 nucleotides long. RefSeq lists it as uncharacterized. The record is from RefSeq and is a predicted model, not a curated record. The transcript is spliced from 3 exons. Lineage: Eukaryota; Viridiplantae; Streptophyta; Magnoliopsida; Malvales; Malvaceae.
GAAGUAGGAGAACAUCACUCCAGCCGGUUCAAAAAGUGCAGAAUUGAAUGAAUCAAAGGCUGAGCUGCUCAGUAGAAUUCAAGGGUUGAAACAGGAUCUGCAAAAUUAGAGAA